AUUGAACGCUGGCGGCAUGCUUUACACAUGCAAGUCGAACGGUAACAGGCCGCAAGGUGCUGACGAGUGGCGAACGGGUGAGUAAUGCAUCGGAACGUGCCCAGUCGUGGGGGAUAACUACUCGAAAGAGUAGCUAAUACCGCAUACGAUCUAUGGAUGAAAGCGGGGGACCGUAAGGCCUCGCGCGAUUGGAGCGGCCGAUGUCAGAUUAGGUAGUUGGUGGGGUAAAGGCUCACCAAGCCAACGAUCUGUAGCUGGUCUGAGAGGACAACCAGCCACACUGGGACUGAGACACGGCCCAGACUCCUACGGGAGGCAGCAGUGGGGAAUUUUGGACAAUGGGCGCAAGCCUGAUCCAGCAAUGCCGCGUGCAGGAAGAAGGCCUUCGGGUUGUAAACUGCUUUUGUACGGAACGAAACGGCUCUGGUUAAUACCCGGGGCUAAUGACGGUACCGUAAGAAUAAGCACCGGCUAACUACG
RNAcentral lists this ribosomal RNA (480 nucleotides) under uncultured bacterium. Its description in RNAcentral is "partial 16S ribosomal RNA". It matches the Rfam family "Bacterial small subunit ribosomal RNA", at positions 30 to 505 of the family's 1533-position model. The record is from RNAcentral.